UCCAUCUUGUACCUGUACUUUUAUGCUAACUAAACUGUGCUGGGGGCUUUUGUUUCGGACAAUGAAGUUCUCUGCACAUGGCAGAAGCUGUAAAGGGAGGAAGUGACAUCGUCACUUAGCCUCACUCCCCCCACAACUCAACACCUGGAAACAUCUCAGGAACAAAGACUGAAUGGGGGAAGAUGGUCAUAAGGAGGAAAAGAAGGUAUCCCAGACUGUGUCUGAAAGAUCUGCAUACUGCUUGUACUCUCAGGGGGCACAGCUUGGGAUCUAACCUUCCUCCAGACCUCCAGCCCUGCCCAGUGCCCGGCUAACACAUCAGCACACGGUGUCCUGGGAACAGGUCAGAGGAUCCGUGGGGAGCCCUGCAGCCGCUCUCGCUCGCCCGAAAGGCCUGGCAGGAAGACGGGGAGCACACGGCUUUCUUGGACCCCAUCGCAGCUC
Molecule: long non-coding RNA, 444 nt
Organism: Chelonia mydas (Green sea turtle)
Lineage: Eukaryota; Metazoa; Chordata; Testudines; Cheloniidae
Exons: 3
Source: RefSeq, a predicted model, not a curated record